This 482-nucleotide ribosomal RNA is filed under the name uncultured bacterium. RNAcentral's name for it is "bacterial SSU rRNA". It matches the Rfam family "Bacterial small subunit ribosomal RNA", at positions 32 to 507 of the family's 1533-position model. The record is from RNAcentral.
AACGCUGGCGGCGUGCUUAAUACAUGCAAGUCGAGCGAGGUUACUGUUUCGGAUCCCUUCGGGGUGAAGAAGCUUUAACCUAGCGGCGGACGGGUGAGUAACGCGUGGGUAACCUACCCCAAAGUCCGGGAUAACAGCGGGAAACCGCUGCUAAUACCGGAUGCCUUUACCUUGGGGCAUCUUGAGGUAAAGAAAGGCAACGCUUUGGGAUGGGCCCGCGUCCCAUUAGCUAGUUGGUGAGGUAACGGCUCACCAAGGCGACGAUGGGUAGCCGGCCUGAGAGGGUGGACGGCCACACUGGGACUGAGACACGGCCCAGACUCCUACGGGAGGCAGCAGUAGGGAAUAUUGCGCAAUGGACGGAAGUCUGACGCAGCGACGCCGCGUGAGCGAUGAAGGUCUUCGGAUCGUAAAGCUCUGUCCUUGGGGAAGAAGGCGAAAGCUUGACGGUACCCAAGAAGAAAGCCCCGGCUAACUACGUG